AGGAGAGAAACUCAUGUAUUUAUUAUUCUGUUCUACUGCAUACGUCAUCUGAUGUUGUCUUUAGAUUGGAGAUUAGUAUAUUGUGAUGUAAAUGGACCAAGCAGCUGUGUAUUAGCUUACGGUGGCUCCUCUGAUGUUCACUUCUUCAUAGCAGGCUGGAUAGUUAGCUGGCACCAAACUGAAUUCUUACACAUUCAGUUUCUCUAUAUAUAGUUCAAAUAAGGCUAUGUUUAGCCAUUUAGUGCCUGCCUACUUUACAUAGCCAUGAAACAGCUAACCAUAUAUAAGACAGACUCCGGGUAUGGAAGACCCCAAGCUCUCCUGCCCUUGGAGCCCUCUGGGCCUGAGACUGCCUCUUUGCUGCUGAGCAACAUCACCAAAACACAUGAGCCACCUUUCCAGUUUCUCCUUCUGCCUCCGAAGAGAGAGAGAGUGAUAGAGUACAGUGGGGAGAGGCAGUGAGAGAAGGAGAGAGAAACUCAAGUCGACUCUACACUGAGCUUGGAUCCCAACACGGGGCUCGAUCUCAUAACCAUGAGAUCACCACCGGAGCUGAAACGAAGAGUUGGCUGUUAACCAAUCGUGCCACCCAGCUGCCCCAAAUAAGUUGGUGAG
Molecule: long non-coding RNA, 615 nt
Filed under: Mustela putorius furo (domestic ferret)
Lineage: Eukaryota; Metazoa; Chordata; Mammalia; Carnivora; Mustelidae
Description: lncRNA (ENSMPUG00000027636.1)
Source: RNAcentral